CUUUGAAAACGAUGAACAAAUAGUUCAUCUGCAAUACAAUCAAAUGUCAGGGAACCCCGUGAGAAUCGGGGACGGUUACGCCACUGUAACGGGUUACAGACUCCCACAGCCACUGGUCAACAGCCGGGAAGGCGGGAGCGAGAUUCGAAACCCCAAGUCAGGAUAUCGGUUUGAUUGUGCUCGUCGUG
This 188-nucleotide non-coding RNA is filed under the name Pedosphaera parvula. The record is from RNAcentral. Lineage: Bacteria; Pseudomonadati; Verrucomicrobiota; Pedosphaerae; Pedosphaerales; Pedosphaeraceae.